GCUGGGCGUAGUGGCGGGCACCUGUAAUCCCAGCUACUUGGGAGGCUGAGGCAGGAGAAUUGCUUGAACCCAGGAGGCGGAGACUGCAGUGAGCUGAGAUUGUGCCACUGUACUCCAGCCUGGGUGACAGAGUGAGAUUCUGUCUCAA
RNAcentral lists this non-coding RNA (148 nucleotides) under Gorilla gorilla gorilla (western lowland gorilla). Lineage: Eukaryota; Metazoa; Chordata; Mammalia; Primates; Hominidae. The record is from Rfam by way of RNAcentral.